ACAGCAGUAGCCGCGGUAAUACAGAGGGUGCGAGCGUUAAUCGGAUUUACUGGGCGUAAAGCGUGCGUAGGCGGCUUUUUAAGUCGGAUGUGAAAUCCCUGAGCUUAACUUAGGAAUUGCAUUCGAUACUGGGAAGCUAGAGUAUGGGAGAGGAUGGUAGAAUUUUAGGUGUAGCGGUGAAAUGCGUAGAGAUCUGGAGGAAUACCGAUGGCGAAGGCAGCCAUCUGGCCUAAUACUGACGCUGAGGUACGAAAGCAUGGGGAGCAAACAGGAUUAGAUACCCGAGUAGUCCCUGUCUCUUAUAC
This 305-nucleotide ribosomal RNA is filed under the name uncultured bacterium. RNAcentral's name for it is "partial 16S ribosomal RNA". It matches the Rfam family "Bacterial small subunit ribosomal RNA", at positions 508 to 807 of the family's 1533-position model. The record is from RNAcentral.